This 1294-nucleotide long non-coding RNA is filed under the name Sus scrofa (pig). RNAcentral describes it as "lncRNA (ENSSSCG00050006968.1)". The record is from RNAcentral. Lineage: Eukaryota; Metazoa; Chordata; Mammalia; Artiodactyla; Suidae.
GACCACAAACUACCUGCAGUCAGAAACUGGAUUGGGAGUCACUUGUCCUCGCUGUUCUCCCGCUGCCUCUGGACGACCCCAUGAGAAUUGCUUUUUCUGGACUGGACCUGAAACUACCUGCAGUCAGAAACUGGACUGGGGUUGGGACUGGAUUGUGUCCAUUUAGAAACCAGGCUGGAUCUGACUUAAGCCGGAGGCAAGCCAUUGUGAAGCUCUCAGUUUGUGGUGAUCAGCGCGGGACCCACAGGGAUAGACAUUCCCUCCAGAGCCUGCAAACAGCACCUUGGAAAAACUGGCAGAAGUCAGCAAAUGGUAAGAAUUGUUAUUAGAGGCAGCUAGUUCUCUGUCUGUGAUGUUUGUUCAAAAGAAGGUAGGAGUCCCCUGGUGGCUCCACUGGUUAAAAGAGCUGGUGUUGUCACUGCUGUGGCUUAGGGUUAGUCCCUGUUCCUGGAACUUCUGCAUGCCACAGGCGGAGCCCAGCGCCCCCCCCCCCGCCCCCGCCCGCCAGAGAAAUGAAAGUAAAACUUCACAUGGUCUUUUUCAAAUCCAGAUUGGCAGGAAAAACAUUGGUUAUCAAUCCUUUCUCUUCUAGGACGGCUGUUGCCUUCUGGUUUGUCUCCUUUAGUGUCCUGAGAACUUGGCUUGGCAACCAUCAGUUUUGGGGGCCCCCAAAUGUGGCCAGAGAUCAGGGUUGCACCCCCUUUGUGGCUAGAUAUGGCUGGACGGUGCUGUGGGUUGUACCCAUUUGAGGCUCAGGAGUCUACUGACUGACCAUUGCCCCCCUCAGGGGACUUGUCUAAGUCUGUCCCUUUUGGCUAUCUUUCGGAGUGACUCUGGAUCUUGGGAGGGCAGCAUCUUUUGCAUCUUUUGCAUGAACCUCUGCUGUGUCCAUGUCCACUGUGGAGUCCUACAGGGAAUAUUUCCUGUUCGUCCCAGCUGAAACCUCACAACACAUUGGAAAGGAUUUGUUUAAAAGUAACUCUAGGGGAGUUCCCGUCGUGGCGCAGUGGUUAACGAAUCCGACUAGGAACCAUGAGGUUGCGGGUUCGGUCCAUGCCCUUGCUCAGUGGGUUAACGAUCCGGCGUUGCCGUGAGCUGUGGUGUAGGUGGCAGACGCGGCUCGGAUCCCGCGUUGCUGUGGCUCUGGCGUAGGCCGGUGGCUACAGCUCCGAUUCGACCCCUAGCCUGGGAACCUCCAUAUGCCGCGGGAGGGGCCCAAGAAAUAGCAACAACAACAACAAAAAGACAAAAGACAAAAAAUAAAUAAAUAAAUAAAUAAAAGUACCUCUAGGGU